This 426-nucleotide ribosomal RNA is filed under the name Triticum aestivum (bread wheat). Its description in RNAcentral is "partial small subunit ribosomal RNA". Lineage: Eukaryota; Viridiplantae; Streptophyta; Magnoliopsida; Poales; Poaceae. The record is from RNAcentral.
AUGCUACAUGGCCGGGUUUCGUUUUCAGGCAAGAAAGUGAGUGAGAAUUCCUCCUCCUUUUCUCCGCCUUUUCUCCUCCUCCUCCCUCGUCAAAACCUUUCCAGGCAUCCGAUCCCUCCCUCCCUCCCCCGUUCAUCCUCACAGGAGCAAGCAGCUCGCUCGCUCACUACUUUUCUCUUCUUCUAUCUAUCCGCCCAAUCUUUCCCUGAUGUUGCUUCCAUUGUACCGCUGCUGACCUCUGGGAUGCCUGUCUCCUUGUCCCAGUCCAGGCAGGCUAGCACCAGUGCAGCACCACUACUACGGCGACUAGUAAGUAGUACAACCGCUGCUAGGCCCGGCCCAUGCCCACUUUACUAUCCAUCUCGCUCCCAUAAAGAAAAAGAAACAAAGUUGUUGUUCACUCACUUUGCUCCCCCUCCUUAUUAA